RNAcentral lists this ribosomal RNA (465 nucleotides) under uncultured Sphingobacteriales bacterium. RNAcentral's name for it is "bacterial SSU rRNA". It matches the Rfam family "Bacterial small subunit ribosomal RNA", at positions 916 to 1382 of the family's 1533-position model. The record is from RNAcentral. Lineage: Bacteria; Pseudomonadati; Bacteroidota; Sphingobacteriia; Sphingobacteriales.
GGGGCCCGCACAAGCGAGGAGCAUGUGGUUUAAUUCGAUGAUACGCGAGGAACCUUACCUGGGCUCGAACGUAAGAUGACUGUAGGUGAAAGCUUACAUCUCUUCGGAGCAUUUUACGAGGUGCUGCAUGGUUGUCGUCAGCUCGUGCCGUGAGGUGUCGGGUUAAGUCCCAUAACGAGCGCAACCCCUACCUUUAGUUGCCAUCAGGUAAUGCUGGGGACUCUAAAGGAACUGCCUACGCAAGUAGUGAGGAAGGCGGGGAUGACGUCAAAUCAGCACGGCCCUUACGUCCAGGGCUACACACGUGCUACAAUGGCCGAUACAGAGGGCAGCUACCUGGUGACAGGAUGCAAAUCUCCAAAGUCGGUCUCAGUUCGGAUCGGAGUCUGCAACCCGACUCCGUGAAGUUGGAUUCGCUAGUAAUCGCGCAUCAGCCAUGGCGCGGUGAAUACGUUCCCGGGCCUU